AGCGAACGUUUGCGGCGGGCUUAACACAUGCAAGUCGAACGGGCUGUUCCUUCGGGGGCAGUCAGUGGCGCACGGGUGCGUAACACGUAGGUAAUCAACCCUCUGGUUGGGGAUAACACUUCGAAAGGAGUGCUAAUACCCGGUAUGGCGCAGCGGUCUUCGGAUCGCGGCGAGAAAGACCCGCAAGGGUUGCCAGAGGACGAGCCUGCGGCCCAUCAGCUAGUUGGCGAGGUAACGGCUCACCAAGGCGAAGACGGGUAGCUGGUCUGAGAGGAUGAUCAGCCACACUGGAACUGAGACACGGUCCAGACUCCUACGGGAGGCAGCAGUGGGGAAUAUUGCGCAAUGGGCGAAAGCCUGACGCAGCCACGCCGCGUGAGCGAUGAAGG
RNAcentral lists this ribosomal RNA (389 nucleotides) under uncultured bacterium. Its description in RNAcentral is "bacterial SSU rRNA". It matches the Rfam family "Bacterial small subunit ribosomal RNA", at positions 29 to 414 of the family's 1533-position model. The record is from RNAcentral.